UGGAGGAAAGUGAUUGAUCUGCCGGAGAC
RNAcentral lists this non-coding RNA (29 nucleotides) under Macaca fascicularis (crab-eating macaque). RNAcentral also lists the same sequence under 1 other name. Lineage: Eukaryota; Metazoa; Chordata; Mammalia; Primates; Cercopithecidae. The record is from RNAcentral.